This 73-nucleotide transfer RNA is filed under the name Ipomoea nil (Japanese morning glory). It matches the Rfam family "tRNA". From Rfam's summary of the family: Transfer RNA (tRNA) molecules are approximately 80 nucleotides in length. Their secondary structure includes four short double-helical elements and three loops (D, anti-codon, and T loops). Lineage: Eukaryota; Viridiplantae; Streptophyta; Magnoliopsida; Solanales; Convolvulaceae. The record is from Rfam by way of RNAcentral.
GUUUGUGUGGCCUAUUGGAUAAGGCACUCACCUCAGAAGUGGGAGACUAUGGGUUUGAGUCCCAUUGUGAAAG